UCUACUUGGAGGUUGUGCCCUUGAGGCGUGGCUUCCGGAGCUAACGCGUUAAGUAGACCGCCUGGGGAGUACGGCCGCAAGGUUAAAACUCAAAUGAAUUGACGGGGGCCCGCACAAGCGGUGGAGCAUGUGGUUUAAUUCGAUGCAACGCGAAGAACCUUACCUGGUCUUGACAUCCACAGAAGAAUCCAGAGAUGGAUUUGUGCCUUCGGGAACUGUGAGACAGGUGCUGCAUGGCUGUCGUCAGCUCGUGUUGUGAAAUGUUGGGUUAAGUCCCGCAACGAGCGCAACCCUUAUCCUUUGUUGCCAGCGGUCCGGCCGGGAACUCAAAGGAGACUGCCAGUGAUAAACUGGAGGAAGGUGGGGAUGACGUCAAGUCAUCAUGGCCCUUACGACCAGGGCUACACACGUGCUACAAUGGCGCAUACAAAGAGAAGCGACCUCGCGAGAGCAAGCGGACCUCAUAAAGUGCGUCGUAGUCCGGAUUGGAGUCUGCAACUCGACUCCAUGAAGUCGGAAUCGCUAGUAAUCGUGGAUCAGAAUGCCACGGUGAAUACGUUCCCGGGCCUUGUACACACCGCCCGUCACACCAUGGGAGUGGGUUGCAAAAGAAGUAGGUAGCUUAACCUUCGGGAGGGCGCUUACCACUUUGUGAUUCAUGACUGGGGUGAAGUCGUAACAAGGUAACCGUAGGGGAACCUGC
This 703-nucleotide ribosomal RNA is filed under the name Salmonella enterica subsp. enterica serovar Infantis. Its description in RNAcentral is "bacterial SSU rRNA". It matches the Rfam family "Bacterial small subunit ribosomal RNA", at positions 812 to 1515 of the family's 1533-position model. RNAcentral also lists the same sequence under 1 other name. Lineage: Bacteria; Pseudomonadati; Pseudomonadota; Gammaproteobacteria; Enterobacterales; Enterobacteriaceae. The record is from RNAcentral.